Molecule: ribosomal RNA, 490 nt
Filed under: uncultured bacterium
Lineage: Bacteria
Description: partial 16S ribosomal RNA
Rfam family: Bacterial small subunit ribosomal RNA
Source: RNAcentral
AUUGAACGCUUUCUUCCUUCCUAACACAUGCAAGUCGAACGGUAACAGGAAGCAGCUUGCUGCUUCGCUGACGAGUGGCGGACGGGUGAGUAAUGUCUGGGAAACUGCCUGAUGGAGGGGGAUAACUACUGGAAACGGUAGCUAAUACCGCAUAACGUCGCAAGACCAAAGAGGGGGACCUUAGGGCCUCUUGCCAUCGGAUGUGCCCAGAUGGGAUUAGCUAGUAGGUGGGGUAACGGCUCACCUAGGCGACGAUCCCUAGCUGGUCUGAGAGGAUGACAAGCCACACUGGAACUGAGACACGGUCCAGACUCCUACGGGAGGCAGCAGUGGGGAAUAUUGCACAAUGGGCGCAAGCCUGAUGCAGCCAUGCCGCGUGUAUGAAGAAGGCCUUCGGGUUGUAAAGUACUUUCAGCGGGGAGGAAGGGAGUAAGGUUAAUACCUUUGCUCAUUGACGUUACCCGCAGAAGAAGCACCGGCUAACUCCGUG